GGGUAAUCGAGCAAUUUUUUAAAAAUUGUUAGGAAAGUCCAUACUAGCACAAGCUGUGAUGCUUGUAGUGUUUGUGCUUAAUGAAAAAAUAAAUUAAGGCAGCUUUAUGCUGACGGCAAGAAAGUAAUCUAAACUUAAUUUACGAGCAUGGUGAAAUCUUAAAGUGCCACAGUGACGAUACUUAAGGAAACUUAAGGUGGAACGGGUAAACCCCUCAAGCUAGCAACCCAAAUUUUGGUAGGGGCACGGCAAAUCGGGAAACGAACUGAAAUGCUGCACAUUUUGUGAGAUAAAUGAUUACCACCUUUUAAAGGUACAGAAUAUGGCUUAUA
RNAcentral lists this RNase P RNA (332 nucleotides) under bovine gut metagenome. RNAcentral describes it as "Bacterial RNase P class B". It matches the Rfam family "Bacterial RNase P class B". Rfam says of the family: Ribonuclease P (RNase P) is a ubiquitous endoribonuclease, found in archaea, bacteria and eukarya as well as chloroplasts and mitochondria. The record is from RNAcentral.